AAUCAACGCUGGCGGCGUGCCUAACACAUGCAAGUCGAACGCGAAAGGGGCUUCGGCCCUGAGUAGAGUGGCGAACGGGUGAGUAACGCGUGGGUGACCUACCCUUGAGUGGGGGAUAACGUUCCGAAAGGGACGCUAAUACCGCAUGACAUUCUGGGUUCGAAGACCUGGAAAUCAAAGCCGGGGACCGCAAGGCCUGGCGCUCGAGGAGGGGCCCGCGUCUGAUUAGCUAGUUGGCGGGGUAAUGGCCCACCAAGGCGACGAUCAGUAGCCGGCCUGAGAGGGCGGACGGCCACACUGGGACUGAGACACGGCCCAGACUCCUACGGGAGGCAGCAGUGGGGAAUUGUUCGCAAUGGGCGCAAGCCUGACGACGCAACGCCGCGUGGAGGAUGAAGGUCUUCGGAUUGUAAACUCCUGUUGAUCGGGACGAAAAGCUUCGACCUAACACGUCGGAGACUGACGGUACCGGUUGAGGAAGCCACGGCUAACUCUGUGC
This 499-nucleotide ribosomal RNA is filed under the name uncultured bacterium. Its description in RNAcentral is "bacterial SSU rRNA". It matches the Rfam family "Bacterial small subunit ribosomal RNA", at positions 29 to 508 of the family's 1533-position model. The record is from RNAcentral.